AACAAACAGGAGAGCUUUGAAAAAGCAAAGGGACAAGGACAGAUCUGAAGGCUGAAGGGAAUCAUCAGAGAGUGUAAAGAACAAGAGAAAUGCUUCUGCUGGAGGACCCUCAGACACAGCAGGACAGGAAGGAUGCAUGCCGAGAGAGAUGGCAACACACACAGAGACACACACAGCAGCGCCAGCAUUUUGCUACCAGAUAAACCUGCAUGAAAACACUAGCACAGCCAGGAAGGCCUGCUUUAGAGACACUUGUUCCUCACUCCCU
Oreochromis aureus is the source of this 268-nucleotide long non-coding RNA. NCBI's taxonomy places the organism in Eukaryota, Metazoa, Chordata, Actinopteri, Cichliformes, Cichlidae. The record is from Ensembl.